This 839-nucleotide ribosomal RNA is filed under the name Lactiplantibacillus plantarum. RNAcentral describes it as "bacterial SSU rRNA". It matches the Rfam family "Bacterial small subunit ribosomal RNA", at positions 66 to 871 of the family's 1533-position model. The record is from RNAcentral. Lineage: Bacteria; Bacillati; Bacillota; Bacilli; Lactobacillales; Lactobacillaceae.
ACGAACUCUGGUAUUGAUUGGUGCUUGCAUCAUGAUUUACAUUUGAGUGAGUGGCGAACUGGUGAGUAACACGUGGGAAACCUGCCCAGAAGCGGGGGAUAACACCUGGAAACAGAUGCUAAUACCGCAUAACAACUUGGACCGCAUGGUCCGAGUUUGAAAGAUGGCUUCGGCUAUCACUUUUGGAUGGUCCCGCGGCGUAUUAGCUAGAUGGUGGGGUAACGGCUCACCAUGGCAAUGAUACGUAGCCGACCUGAGAGGGUAAUCGGCCACAUUGGGACUGAGACACGGCCCAAACUCCUACGGGAGGCAGCAGUAGGGAAUCUUCCACAAUGGACGAAAGUCUGAUGGAGCAACGCCGCGUGAGUGAAGAAGGGUUUCGGCUCGUAAAACUCUGUUGUUAAAGAAGAACAUAUCUGAGAGUAACUGUUCAGGUAUUGACGGUAUUUAACCAGAAAGCCACGGCUAACUACGUGCCAGCAGCCGCGGUAAUACGUAGGUGGCAAGCGUUGUCCGGAUUUAUUGGGCGUAAAGCGAGCGCAGGCGGUUUUUUAAGUCUGAUGUGAAAGCCUUCGGCUCAACCGAAGAAGUGCAUCGGAAACUGGGAAACUUGAGUGCAGAAGAGGACAGUGGAACUCCAUGUGUAGCGGUGAAAUGCGUAGAUAUAUGGAAGAACACCAGUGGCGAAGGCGGCUGUCUGGUCUGUAACUGACGCUGAGGCUCGAAAGUAUGGGUAGCAAACAGGAUUAGAUACCCUGGUAGUCCAUACCGUAAACGAUGAAUGCUAAGUGUUGGAGGGUUUCCGCCCUUCAGUGCUGCAGCUAACGCAUAAGCAUCCG